Molecule: ribosomal RNA, 460 nt
Filed under: uncultured bacterium
Lineage: Bacteria
Description: partial 16S ribosomal RNA
Rfam family: Bacterial small subunit ribosomal RNA
Source: RNAcentral
CCUACGGGAGGCAGCAGUGAGGAAUAUUGGUCAAUGGACGAGAGUCUGAACCAGCCAAGUAGCGUGAAGGAUGACUGCCCUAUGGGUUGUAAACUUCUUUUAUAUGGGAAUAAAAUGUUCCACGUGUGGGAUUUUGUAUGUACCAUAUGAAUAAGGAUCGGCUAACUCCGUUCCAGCAGCCGCGGUAAUACGGAGGAUCCGAGCGUUAUCCGGAUUUAUUUGGUUUAAAGGGAGCGUAGGUGGAUUGUUAAGUCAGUUGUGAAAGUUUGCGGCUCAACCGUAAAAUUGCAGUUGAAACUGGCAGUCUUGAGUACAGUAGAGGUGGGCGGAAUUCGUGGUGUAGCGGUGAAAUGCUUAGAUAUCACGAAGAACUCCGAUUGCGAAGGCAGCUCACUGGACUACAACUGACACCGAGGCUCGAAAGUGUGGGUAUCAAACAGGAUUAGAUACCCUUGUAGUC